UAAGGGGGGGUGUGGUUUAUUCGAUGCGACACGAAGAACCUCACCUGGGUUUGACAUACAAGUAGUAGGGGAGCGAAAGCCGACCGAGUCGCAAGACAGCUUGAACAGGUGCUGCAUGGCUGUCGUCAGCUCGUGCCGUGAGGUGUUGGGUUAAGUCCCACAACGAGCGCAACCCUUGUUGCCAGUUGCAAGUAUCUGGCGAGACUGCCGGCGUAUAACCGGAGGAAGGUAGGGAUGACGUCAAGUCAGCAUGGCCUUUAUAUCCAGGGCUACACACACGCUACAAUGGCCGGUACAGAGGGGAGCGAAACCGCGAGGUGGAGCCAAUCCCACAAAGCCGGUCUCAGUUCAGAUUGCAGGCUGCAACCCGCCUGCAUGAAGUCGGAGUUGCUAUA
RNAcentral lists this ribosomal RNA (395 nucleotides) under uncultured Chloroflexota bacterium. Its description in RNAcentral is "bacterial SSU rRNA". It matches the Rfam family "Bacterial small subunit ribosomal RNA", at positions 930 to 1339 of the family's 1533-position model. Lineage: Bacteria; Bacillati; Chloroflexota. The record is from RNAcentral.